Gossypium arboreum is the source of this 185-nucleotide long non-coding RNA. RefSeq lists it as uncharacterized. Lineage: Eukaryota; Viridiplantae; Streptophyta; Magnoliopsida; Malvales; Malvaceae. The record is from RefSeq and is a predicted model, not a curated record. The transcript is spliced from 3 exons.
CAGGGUAAAAAUGUAUAAUACAAUUUCAUGCCUUCCCCACUGAAUGGUGAUUCAGGGAACGAAUGAAGUAACAAAUUAGCCAAGGGUUAAGGAAUCAGUGGGUCCUGAGCUCUUUAAGAAACUCCCGUUCAACUCGGGUGAUUUGAGGAACACGGAUAACUUGGACAACCUUUUCUCUAAAACAA